RNAcentral lists this non-coding RNA (164 nucleotides) under Palpitomonas bilix. The record is from RNAcentral.
UUUUAGUGCUGAUACAUUCUUCUCUUCUUUUAUUUCAUUAGUAGAAAAGCAGCAAAGAAAGGAACAAGGGAAGUAAAAAAGAGGAGAAGGGAAAAGAAAAAUGAAGAGAAAGAGUACACUUACAUAUUUACAAUAUAAAAAAUAUACAAAUACACAGAAAUAAC